UGUGCCUAGCCCCGCGCGGUAAUACGUAGGGCGCAAGCGUUGUCCGGAAUUAUUGGGCGUAAAGAGCUCGUAGGCGGUUUGUCGCGUCUGCUGUGAAAGCCCGGGGCUCAACCCCGGGUCUGCAGUGGGUACGGGCAGACUAGAGUGCAGUAGGGGAGACUGGAAUUCCUGGUGUAGCGGUGAAAUGCGCAGAUAUCAGGAGGAACACCGAUGGCGAAGGCAGGUCUCUGGGCUGUUACUGACGCUGAGGAGCGAAAGCAUGGGGAGCGAACAGGAUUAGAUACCCUGGUAGUCCAUGCCGUAAACGUUGGGCACUAGGUGUGGGGGACAUUCCACGUUCUCCGCGCCGUAGCUAACGCAUUAAGUGCCCCGCCUGGGGAGUACGGCCGCAAGGCUAAAACUCAAAGGAAUUGACGGGGGCCCGCACAAGCGGCGGAGCAUGCGGAUUAAUUCGAUGCAACGCGAAGAACCUUACCAAGGCUUGACAUCCACCGGACCGCACUGGAGACAGUGCUUCCCUUCGGGGCUGGUGGACAGGUGGUGCAUGGUUGUCGUCAGCUCGUGUCGUGAGAUGUUGGGUUAAGUCCCGCAACGAGCGCAACCCUCGUUCUAUGUUGCCAGCACGUGAUGGUGGGGACUCAUAGGAGACUGCCGGGGUCAACUCGGAGGAAGGUGGGGAUGACGUCAAAUCAUCAUGCCCCUUAUGUCUUGGGCUUCACGCAUGCUACAAUGGCCGGUACAAAGGGUUGCGAUACUGUGAGGUGGAGCUAAUCCCAAAAAGCCGGUCUCAGUUCGGAUUGAGGUCUGCAACUCGACCUCAUGAAGUCGGAGUCGCUAGUAAUCGCAGAUCAGCAACGCUGUCGGGUGAUUGCGUUCCCGGGCCUUGCACAACCCCGCCCGUCAGAAA
RNAcentral lists this ribosomal RNA (907 nucleotides) under Kocuria flava. RNAcentral's name for it is "bacterial SSU rRNA". It matches the Rfam family "Bacterial small subunit ribosomal RNA", at positions 504 to 1403 of the family's 1533-position model. The record is from RNAcentral. Lineage: Bacteria; Bacillati; Actinomycetota; Actinomycetes; Micrococcales; Micrococcaceae.